AUUGAACGCUGGCGGCAGGCUUAACACAUGCAAGUCGAGCGGGGUGAUGGUGCUUGCACUAUCACUUAGCGGCGGACGGGUGAGUAAUGCUUAGGAAUCUGCCUAUUAGUGGGGGACAACAUCUCGAAAGGGAUGCUAAUACCGCAUACGUCCUACGGGAGAAAGCAGGGGAUCACUUGCGACCUUGCGCUAAUAGAUGAGCCUAAGUCGGAUUAGCUGGUUGGUGGGGUAAAGGCCUACCAAGGCGACGAUCUGUAGCGGGUCUGAGAGGAUGAUCCGCCACACUGGGACUGAGACACGGCCCAGACUCCUACGGGAGGCAGCAGUGGGGAAUAUUGGACAAUGGGGGGAACCCUGAUCCAGCCAUGCCGCGUGUGUGAAGAAGGCCUUAUGGAUGUAAAGCACUUUAAGCGAGGAGGAGGCUCUUUUGGUUAAUACCCAAGAUGAGUGGACGUUACUCGCAGAAUAAGCACCGGCUAACUCUGUGCCAGCCGCCGCCGUAA
Molecule: ribosomal RNA, 503 nt
Filed under: uncultured bacterium
Lineage: Bacteria
Description: partial 16S ribosomal RNA
Rfam family: Bacterial small subunit ribosomal RNA
Source: RNAcentral